Molecule: ribosomal RNA, 305 nt
Filed under: uncultured bacterium
Lineage: Bacteria
Description: bacterial SSU rRNA
Rfam family: Bacterial small subunit ribosomal RNA
Source: RNAcentral
UUAGCCUACGGGGGGCAGCAGUGAGGAAUAUUGGUCAAUGGGCGCGAGCCUGAACCAGCCAAGUCGCGUGAGGGAGGACGGCCCUACGGGUUGUAAACCUCUUUUGCCGGGGAGCAACGCGCGUCACGUGUGGCGCCACUGAGAGUACCCGGAGAAAAAGCAUCGGCUAACUCCGUGCCAGCAGCCGCGGUAAUACGGAGGAUGCGAGCGUUAUCCGGAUUUAUUGGGUUUAAAGGGUGCGUAGGUGGUUAAUUAAGUCAGCGGUGAAAGUUUGUGGCUCAACCAUAAAAUUGCCGUUGAAACUG